Molecule: ribosomal RNA, 465 nt
Filed under: uncultured bacterium
Lineage: Bacteria
Description: partial 16S ribosomal RNA
Rfam family: Bacterial small subunit ribosomal RNA
Source: RNAcentral
CCUACGGGAGGCAGCAGUAGGGAAUCUUCCACAAUGGGCGAAAGCCUGAUGGAGCAACGCCGCGUGGGUGAAGAAGGUCUUCGGAUCGUAAAACCCUGUUGUUAGAGAAGAAAGUGCGGGAGAGUAACUGUUCACGUUUCGACGGUAUCUAACCAGAAAGCCACGGUCAACUACGUGCCAGCAGCCGCGGUAAUACGUAGGUGGCAAGCGUUAUCCGGAUUUAUUGGGCGUAAAGGGAACGCAGGCGGUCUUUUAAGUCUGAUGGGAAAGCCUUCGGCUUAACCGGAGUAGUGCAUUGGAAACUGGGAGACUUGAGUGCAGAAGAGGAGAGUGGAACUCCAUGUGUAGCGGUGAAAUGCGUAGAUAUAUGGAAGAACACCAGUGGCGAAAGCGGCUCUCUGGUCUGUAACUGACGCUGAGGUUCGAAAGCGUGGGUAGCAAACAGGAUUAGAUACCCCAGUAGUC